This 20-nucleotide small nuclear RNA is filed under the name Arabidopsis thaliana (thale cress). Its description in RNAcentral is "snRNA_05292". The record is from RNAcentral. Lineage: Eukaryota; Viridiplantae; Streptophyta; Magnoliopsida; Brassicales; Brassicaceae.
AGCGGGGUAAAGCCAGAGGA